UGUGGCAUUGAAUGAAAUGUUCUGUAAUAUGUGAAAACAAAAACUCAUGUUUUCGUAAUAUGUGUGCAUUACGAGAGACACUGAGAAGGUUUUGAUUAGAGUCAUAUUUUGGAUACAGCAAGAUUCUCAGUGAGAAAAGAGUCUGCUUUUGAGAGUGGAGACUGUGAGGAUGUUGAGACCAAUGGAAAUGAAAUGUUCAGACCAACGGAAACGAGAGACUUGAAUAAACAUAGAUCAGAGAGUGGUGGAGACAAGGAAAAUUGCCAGCGAUGUUGUGUGUCUUCUCUGUCCUACGAUGACAUUGCUGAGGAGGACAGCGUCCCAGCUCAACCCUUAACCAGUGAAAGAUAUGGAACCAGUAGCCUGAAGCCCAGAGGCAGGAGCUGCUGCUAACCACGGACAUGCUACCUACGAGGUGGAGGAAGAUCCACAGGAGAGCUGCGAUGAUGUGGUGUCGAUGACCACGCCAGCUGAGGAGACCAGAGAGGAGGUUGCAGAAGUCAUUGAGAGACCCAAACCCAAGGACCUGGAUGUCCACGAUGAUGAGGAGGGUGACCUGGAGCCUAAUGGACAGGGGUGAGCAACAUGGAGGCUUGACAUGAUCUGUUGUCAAACAGAAGUAUGAGAGGGGGUGUUUUGAUGAUGUUUUUACGUUGGCACUUUGUAUUGUUCUCACGCAUUUGAGAAAUACACGUUUUUCAGUUCCUAGUAAUUACCUAGCAAUUUGGCACUUUUUUCAUGUCAUGUAAAAUUAGUACGGCAUGGUUUAUUAAUUUUUACAAAAUAGAGAAAACAUGUUAUCUCAUCAAAUUAUUUCUAAUAUUUUGUAUUCAUUAAACUUGCCAUUUCAAAUGUCUUGUGACAUCUCUUUUUAGGAUCCCAAAGUUGUCGUCAAAAAUCUGGGUAUCUGCAUAAGAACCUCACGUUCCCUUUUCAUCGGUUCACUUAUAAUAUUGCUGGUUCUUUUUCAUAUGUGAGGAUCCAAUUAUUACAAUUACUUGACCCUUUUCUGUCUCUAACAUUUGAUACUGUUUCAAAUGUUUUGAUUCAUUUGACAUGUUUCGAUUCGUUUGUUGUGCCAUGGCCUGUAAAGCAGAACUGAUUGACACAGAACAGAAUCAAUGGUGUCUGUCUUACAACAACACAUGUAUUAGUGAAACAUGAUCUUGCUAUGUGGUAGUUCCUUCCAUAAAGAACAGCAUGUGAAAAUUCUUAAUUGCUCUUUAUGCGUCAAAGCUCAUAGCCAACAGCUGUUUUUCAAUGACUUUUAUCGUGGUUUUUUGUUGUUGCUACUUUUCCCAUUUAUAAAUGCAAAAUGUUAAUUUUUUAAAUUUGUAAAUGCAAUAUAACAUUGUGCACUGAAAAGAUUUGUUUCUAUUCUCCUCUUCAACUUCUCAGUAUUUAUGUGUUUAUGAAAGUUAUUGUUCAGAUUUUACACAAUAAUCAUUUCAAUGUUAGAUUUUUUACCUUUUUGAAUUGAUUAUAUUUUAAUUAAAGGUUUAUAAAAUAUGAAAGUAGUAGUUCACAGGGUUUAUCUCAUAGCUAUGUGUUUUAUUUGUUUAAACAUGUUUGUUUAGAGUUUUGUUUUCUCUAUGAAAUCAUGUUUGAGAUUUGGUGUUUGGAAUUUUAAGAAUAUUGUCAAUAGUGGGGAAAACAAUCAGUGUAAAAUUAGAAAACUAACUUAAAUGUGAAAAAUUAAACAAAAUUGAGAUGAUGAUGAGAGGUAUAAAAUGAAUUACAAUUAAGAAUACUUCCAAUGAUUAUUUGAUGUACAGUGUCAGAUUUUCUUUAUUAUGUCAUUCGCAAUUGAAGAAAAUGAAAAUAUACUGCUUUAAUAAUGUACUGUGCUGUCAGUAAUGUUUUUUGUAAGGAGACUAAAUUAUUGGCUCUAUUGAUGCUGUCGUGUUAAUUUAACAUUUUACAUUAUGAAAUUAUUCAAAUGAUGGUAAUAAAAAAUAAAAAUACUGAUCUGCA
Long non-coding RNA from Oncorhynchus nerka (sockeye salmon), 1974 nucleotides. RefSeq lists it as uncharacterized. The record is from RefSeq and is a predicted model, not a curated record. Lineage: Eukaryota; Metazoa; Chordata; Actinopteri; Salmoniformes; Salmonidae. The transcript is spliced from 3 exons.